GUGGCGAACGGGUGAGUAACACGUGAGUAACCUGCCCCUGACUCUGGGAUAAGCGUUGGAAACGACGUCUAAUACUGGAUAUGACGGCCGAUCGCAUGGUCUGGUCGUGGAAAGAAUUUUGGUUGGGGAUGGACUCGCGGCCUAUCAGGUAGUUGGUGAGGUAAUGGCUCACCAAGCCGACGACGGGUAGCCGGCCUGAGAGGGUGACCGGCCACACUGGGACUGAGACACGGCCCAGACUCCUACGGGAGGCAGCAGUGGGGAAUAUUGCACAAUGGGCGCAAGCCUGAUGCAGCAACGCCGCGUGAGGGAUGACGGCCUUCGGGUUGUAAACCUCUUUUAGUAGGGAAGAAGCGAAAGUGACGGUACCUGCAGAAAAAGCACCGGCUAACUACGUGCCAGCAGCCGCGGUAAUACGUAGGGUGCAAGCGUUGUCCGGAAUUAUUGGGCGUAAAGAGCUCGUAGGCGGUUUGUCGCGUCUGCUGUGAAAUCCCGAGGCUCAACCUCGGGCUUGCAGUGGGUACGGGCAGACUAGAGUGCGGUAGGGGAGAUUGGAAUUCCUGGUGUAGCGGUGGAAUGCGCAGAUAUCAGGAGGAACACCGAUGGCGAAGGCAGAUCUCUGGGCCGUAACUGACGCUGAGGAGCGAAAGCGUGGGGAGCGAACAGGAUUAGAU
Molecule: ribosomal RNA, 674 nt
Filed under: bacterium
Lineage: Bacteria
Description: bacterial SSU rRNA
Rfam family: Bacterial small subunit ribosomal RNA
Source: RNAcentral